This 473-nucleotide ribosomal RNA is filed under the name uncultured bacterium. RNAcentral describes it as "SSU rRNA". It matches the Rfam family "Bacterial small subunit ribosomal RNA", at positions 26 to 518 of the family's 1533-position model. The record is from RNAcentral.
AGAAUCAACGCUGGCGGCGUGCCUAACACAUGCAAGUCGAACGAGAAAGUGGAGCAAUCCAUAAGUAAAGUGGCGCACGGGUGAGUAACACGUGACUAACCUACCCUUGAGUGGGGGAUAACCUAGGGAAACCUGGGCUAAUACCGCAUAAUACCUUCGGGUCAAAGGAGCAAUUCGCUUAAGGAGGGGGUCGCGGCCGAUUAGUUAGUUGGCGGGGUAAUGGCCCACCAAGACUAUGAUCGGUAUCCGGCCUGAGAGGGGCGCGACGGAACGACGACCUGGAACGUGAAACACGGUCCAGACUCCUACGGGAGGCAGCAGUGGGGAAUCUUGCACAAUGGACGAAAGUCUGAUGCAGCAACGCCGCGUGGGGGAUGAAGGCCUUCGGGUUGUAAACCCCGUUUCAGCAGGGACGAAGCGAAAGUGACGGUACCUGCAGAAGAAGCGCCGGCUAACUACGUGCCAGCAGCCGC